Molecule: non-coding RNA, 126 nt
Organism: Triticum urartu
Lineage: Eukaryota; Viridiplantae; Streptophyta; Magnoliopsida; Poales; Poaceae
Source: Rfam
UUCCUACUCCCUCCGUCCGGAAAAGCUUGUCUCAACCUUGUUCUUCAAAUGAAUGUAUCUAGCACUAACUUGAAGCUAGAUACAUCCAUUUGAGCGACAAGCUUUUUCAGACGGAGGUAGUACAUG